This 253-nucleotide ribosomal RNA is filed under the name uncultured bacterium. Its description in RNAcentral is "partial 16S ribosomal RNA". It matches the Rfam family "Bacterial small subunit ribosomal RNA", at positions 524 to 776 of the family's 1533-position model. The record is from RNAcentral.
UACGUAGGGGGCGAGCGUUGUCCGGAUUUAUUGGGCGUAAAGAGCGUGUAGGCGGCCCGGUAAGUCCGCUGUGAAAGUCGGGGGCUCAACCCUCGAAUGCCGGCGGAUACUGUCGGGCUAGAGUCCGGAAGAGGCGAGUGGAAUUCCUGGUGUAGCGGUGAAAUGCGCAGAUAUCAGGAGGAACACCAACGGCGAAGGCAGCUCGCUGGGACGGUACUGACGCUGAGACGCGAAAGCGUGGGGAGCAAACAGG